UUGAUUGGACAAGGUAUGCUAUGACGGACAUUUACAUACCUGGUUGUAGUCGAACCAAAUUGUUAUAUUUUUAAAAUCAAUUGGUCCCCUUCAACCAGCUAUGUUUCUCCUCCUGUAAACAUCUAGUUAA
This is a non-coding RNA of Brugia malayi, 130 nucleotides long. NCBI's taxonomy places the organism in Eukaryota, Metazoa, Nematoda, Chromadorea, Rhabditida, Onchocercidae. The record is from RefSeq and is a predicted model, not a curated record.